This is a long non-coding RNA of Oncorhynchus keta (chum salmon), 415 nucleotides long. RefSeq lists it as uncharacterized. Lineage: Eukaryota; Metazoa; Chordata; Actinopteri; Salmoniformes; Salmonidae. The record is from RefSeq and is a predicted model, not a curated record. The transcript is spliced from 3 exons.
GUUAUGGAGGGGUAAGGGGGGGUGUUAUGGAGGGGUAAGGGGGGUGUUAUGGAGGGGUAAGGGGGGGGUUGCAUGAACAGCUGAACAAAACCCUGCCGAACAACAAACAAACUAAAACUUCACAAAUUGUUGUCAUAAUAUAUGCGCAAACCGUUUGGACUGGGAAGCAUGCGAUAGGCUUAAAAGGUGGGGGGUGUUAUGGAGGGGUAAGGUGGGGGGUGGGGGGGGUCUGACCAAGUCUUCUAUCUGAAGUGUCAGUCAGUGAAAAGGUCUCAGAAACAGAGCUAUCGAAGCUCUCCAGUGUGUUUCAGUUUAUACACACACACACACACACACACACACACACACACACACACACACACACACACACACACACACACACACACACACACACACACACACACACACACACACA